UGCUAUAGGAAUUUUACUUCAUAGACUUCUCAGUAUUACAAGGACCAUAGGUUUGAGUUGAUUAUUUUAAUGGAUAUUAAAACAUAUAUGUAGUUCCUUGAUCAUUAAGUAGAGUUUGGUUGCACCAUCACUGCCUUUUUGGCUAUCAAGCUUAUUUAGAAGUGUCUUUUGGUAUACAUUUGUUAUCUGGGAGAGGCUAUAGGAAUUUAACUCAUAGAUUUGCUGGUAUCAUAAGCACCUUUAGAUUGACUAACAAUAUAUUUGAAAUGUUGGUCUUUUCCAAUAUUCAGGUUAGGUUGAAGAGAUACUUGGAGAUGAGGGGUGCUGAUGGAGGACCGGCCUUAGAGAAGCUUAUGUGCGUUGCUUGCAUUUUGGGUAAUAAGCUAAGCUACUGCAACCUUCUCUUUCCAGAUCGCUUUGCUUGCAUUUCAAUUGGGUUUUGGCGACUAGCUCAGCUCCUUCCUAGACACUUAUUUUUCUGAAUAUGGCAUGGAGGCCAUCUACUUUGAUGAAGGUGUAAGGAACUCAAGACGACACCAACUGGAAACAAAAGCAUUGGAUGUAUGACUACUCUCUCUAUGUUUCUAAUAUAACAAAUUUUGGUUAAGUUUUUUCCAGUUUGAAACAGCUCCUGGAAAUCAGUUUACAUUUUUUGUUUCAUUACCAUGCGUAUUGUAGUUUAAAAGUUGCUUUUGUUUGAACUUUCCAAUUUUUGUUCUCUGCUGAUACUACCAUGCUCAAGCAUUGAAAAACUUUAAAUUGACAUUGGAGCAGUCAUUAAACAAAGGAGAAGGAUUUGCCUCAUCUGUUCAAACCUGUAAGGAAGGAUGCAUGCUUCAG
Molecule: long non-coding RNA, 840 nt
Organism: Rosa rugosa (rugosa rose)
Lineage: Eukaryota; Viridiplantae; Streptophyta; Magnoliopsida; Rosales; Rosaceae
Exons: 3
Source: RefSeq, a predicted model, not a curated record